GGGCCCGCACAAGCAGCGGAGCGUGUGGUUUAAUUCGAUGCAACGCGAAGAACCUUACCAGGGCUUGACAUGCACGUGGUAGCGAAGUGAAAGCGGAGCGACCCUUCGGGGAGCGUGCACAGGUGCUGCAUGGCUGUCGUCAGCUCGUGCCGUGAGGUGUUGGGUUAAGUCCCGCAACGAGCGCAACCCUCGUUGCUAGUUAGAUCUUUCUAGCGAUACUGCCGGUACAAAACCGGAGGAAGGUGGGGAUGACGUCAAGUCAGCAUGGCCUUUAUGUCCUGGGCUACACACACGCUACAAUGGUCGGUACAAUGGGUUGCCAAGCCGCGAGGUGGAGCUAAUCCCUGAAAGCCGGCCUCAGUUCGGAUUGCAGGCUGCAACUCGCCUGCAUGAAGUCGGAGUUGCUAGUAACCGCCGGUCAGCCAUACGGCGGUGAAUACGUUCCCGGGCCUU
Molecule: ribosomal RNA, 453 nt
Filed under: uncultured bacterium
Lineage: Bacteria
Description: bacterial SSU rRNA
Rfam family: Bacterial small subunit ribosomal RNA
Source: RNAcentral